Long non-coding RNA from Mauremys reevesii (Reeves's turtle), 1787 nucleotides. RefSeq lists it as uncharacterized. The record is from RefSeq and is a predicted model, not a curated record. The transcript is spliced from 6 exons. NCBI's taxonomy places the organism in Eukaryota, Metazoa, Chordata, Testudines, Geoemydidae.
CGCCGUUGGGAGGAGCUGCCGCCGUCGGCCCCGCCCGCAGAGCGUGGGGUGGGGCUGCUCCCUCCACGCCCAUCACGUGGCCCUGUCCCCAAACAGCUCCCCGAGGCGCGCGGCUACUGCCGCCUCACGGGUGCGGGGGCUCGCGCCGGAGUUAUGUUCGCUGGCUUAGUGCAGCCGUAGUCACCGCCUUCCUGCUCCGCGGCCGGCUCCCUGCGAGGCGCUGUUCUCCUGGGCUCAGCAGCAGGGGGCUGACCCUCUCCUCCUCCCCCCUCCAAACCCCCUCAGCCUGGCGCCAGCUUGCCAGGGAAUGGACUGUAAACCUGGGUCUGUAACCUGUACUGACUGAGCAGCCGCUGGGACAACGGCCACCACCAAGUACUGGACGCUGCUGUGCGGGUUUGCAGGCGGCUCUGCCAAUGGAAACCACUUAACGCCUUUAAAUGUAGCCGCUGCAGAGGUUUUCUUCUGUAACUGGCAGCUCUAGGGCUCCUCCUGCUGCUGUAAUUAGCUUUGGGUACGGGGCUGGGAUGGGUUUCAGCCCCUUCAGCUGUUGCCUUGUAUUCUCCUCUCUUCCUUCACCUCAGCUCCUGCUCUACACGCUUUCUUCGGAAUCAUUUAUAACACAGCAGCACUUCUAGUUUCUUCAUCUGUAUUCUGCAGGGAUCACCUCUAUAGAUAUUUAUAUAAAACCCCAGAUAUGCAGUGAUGGGCAGCGUGUAUAUGAGUGGAGAGCAUAACCUAGAAGGUUCAAUCCUGUUAAAAUCAGUGGCAGUGCUUCCAGUGACUACAGCAGGAACAUGUACAACUGUUUCCAGUCCUGCAAGGAUAUCUGUCUGUGCAAACCCCAACGGCUGUGUGGAAUCUCACUGAUUCAAUGAAAGCAUGUCGGUCAUGUGGCUGGAUCAGGGACAUAGUGACAGCUACGUUACUGAGAGAAUGUCACAGGAGGAGCUCAUGAAUAGCAGGCAAGCUCUCUGCACAUUUCUCAUUGAUCUGACACUUCCACGCAGUAUGCCUUAGACAAAAUCUCUAUCGGAUAUCCAGAAAAAAAAAUCACAAAUGAAGAAUGCUGGAGGACGACGACAAAAUAGAAGCCAACAGGACAGGAGAUUACAGAAUGAAGAUUGAGAUGGCAAUGAAAUACGUGGAAGAAAAAUACAGAAAACGUAACAAGACAGGCAUUGGACUGGAACACUCAGGGGAAAAGAUGACAAGCCACUUCAAGGAUAACAUGGAAAUGAACAAUAGAGGCAGAAUUGAAAGCUAUCAAAAUGACAUGGGAAGAAGCUUAGACUGAAGCAGGAGAUCAGUAAAGAUGGAAGGCUGUGGUGAAGGUCCUAUGUUCUGCAUGGAAUAGAGAGGCGUAACAUUACAUAUGUAGUUUUAUUCAAUUAUAAAUAUAUUGCUGUUACAUAUACAACAGAAAUAAUUUAAUUAAAUAUCUAAUUGCUUGGAGAAUAUAUAAACUUAUUACUUUGGCUUUAUCUGAUAUCACUAUAUAUUUGAGAUAUUAUUCCCCUUGGAAAAUGUAAAGUAAGUCAGGCUCCAGAAAUCUGUAGUUUCUCCAAUUCUUGUAAACUGUUGAAAUUUAGAAAGAAAUAAAAGCUCCAAUCCUGCAAACACUAACAUAUGAAACUUUACUCACAUGAGUAGCCCCAUUGAAUUGUAUCCCAUUAUCAACUCCCUGAGUUAUCUAGUUCCUCAUACGUUAUUUUUCAAUUACAUGAAUAUUUAUUACAUUACAUGUACUAUUUACAGGACAGCAUGAUUAAAUAGUAAUUCUCAUA